GCUCAGGUGGUGAAAUUGGCAGACACGCUGUCUUCAGGCGGCAGUGCCCUAGGGCAUAGGGGUUCGAAUCCCCUCCUGAGCACCA
This 85-nucleotide transfer RNA is filed under the name Puniceicoccales bacterium. RNAcentral describes it as "tRNA-Leu". It matches the Rfam family "tRNA". Rfam says of the family: Transfer RNA (tRNA) molecules are approximately 80 nucleotides in length. Their secondary structure includes four short double-helical elements and three loops (D, anti-codon, and T loops). Lineage: Bacteria; Pseudomonadati; Verrucomicrobiota; Opitutia; Puniceicoccales. The record is from RNAcentral.